GUGGUUAAGUUAAUAAGGGCACACGGUGGAUGCCUUGGCGUUAGGAGCCGAAGAAGGACGCAGCGAACUGCGAUAAGCCUCGGGGAGUGGUAAGCACACUUUGAUCCGGGGAUUUCCGAAUGGGGGAACCCACCAUCUGUAAUGGGAUGGUAUCCUUCACUGAAUACAUAGGUGAUGAGAGGGCAGACCCGGUGAACUGAAACAUCUAAGUAGCCGGAGGAAGAGAAAACAAUAGUGAUUCCGUCAGUAGUGGCGAGCGAACGCGGAAGAGCCUAAACCGUAGGAUUUAUCCUACGGGGUUGUGGGGCGUUUCAUAUAGGAGUUACAAAAGACAGAUGUAGGUGAACAGUUUGGGAAGACUGACCAAAGAGCGUGAUAGUCGCGUAACCCAAACAUCUGUCUCUCCGAGACCAACCCCGAGUAGCGCGGGACACGUGAAAUCCCGUGUGAAUCUGGCAGGACCAUCUGCUAAGGCUAAAUACUACCUAACGACCGAUAGUGAACCAGUACCGUGAGGGAAAGGUGAAAAGCACCCCGGGAGGGGAGUGAAAUAGUACCUGAAACCGUGUGCUUACAAAUAGUCGGAGCACUUUCUAUGUGUGACGGCGUGCCUUUUGUAGAAUGAACCGGCGAGUUACGAUAGCGUGCGAGGUUAAGUCGAAGAGACGGAGCCGUAGCGAAAGCGAGUCUGAAUAGGGCGAAAGUACGUUGUCGUAGACCCGAAACCGUGUGAUCUAGCCAUGUCCAGGGUGAAGGUAGGGUAACACCUACUGGAGGCCCGAACCCACGCACGUUGAAAAGUGCGGGGAUGAGGUGUGGCUAGCGGUGAAAUUCCAAUCGAACUCGGAGAUAGCUGGUUCUCCCCGAAAUAGCUUUAGGGCUAGCCUCGGAAUAAAGAGUCUUGGAGGUAGAGCACUGAUUGGACUAGGGGCCCUCAUCGGGUUACCGAAUUCAG
This 955-nucleotide ribosomal RNA is filed under the name Brevibacillus laterosporus. RNAcentral's name for it is "partial 23S ribosomal RNA". It matches the Rfam family "Bacterial large subunit ribosomal RNA", at positions 1 to 948 of the family's 2925-position model. The record is from RNAcentral. Lineage: Bacteria; Bacillati; Bacillota; Bacilli; Caryophanales; Paenibacillaceae.